RNAcentral lists this transfer RNA (69 nucleotides) under Acropyga arnoldi. RNAcentral's name for it is "tRNA-Ser". Lineage: Eukaryota; Metazoa; Arthropoda; Insecta; Hymenoptera; Formicidae. The record is from RNAcentral.
AGUUAAUGAUCUUGACAAAGUUUAUAUUUUGAAAAUAUAAAAAAGAAAUACUUAAUUUUCUAUUAACUU